CGCGGCCUAUCAGCUUGUUGGUGGGGUAAUGGCCUACCAAGGCGACGACGGGUAGCCGGCCUGAGAGGGUGAUCGGCCACACUGGGACUGAGACACGGCCCAGACUCCUACGGGAGGCAGCAGUGGGGAAUAUUGCACAAUGGGCGAAAGCCUGAUGCAGCGACGCCGCGUGGGGGAUGACGGUCUUCGGAUUGUAAACCCCUUUCAGUAGGGACGAAGCGCAAGUGACGGUACCUGCAGAAGAAGCACCGGCCAACUACGUGCCAGCAGCCGCGGUAAUACGUAGGGUGCGAGCGUUGUCCGGAAUUACUGGGCGUAAAGAGCUCGUAGGCGGUUUGUCACGUCGUCUGUGAAAUCCUCCAGCUUAACUGGGGGCGUGCAGGCGAUACGGGCAGACUUGAGUACUACAGGGGAGACUGGAAUUCCUGGUGUAGCGGUGAAAUGCGCAGAUAUCAGGAGGAACACCGGUGGCGAAGGCGGGUCUCUGGGUAGUAACUGACGCUGAGGAGCGAAAGCAUGGGUAGCGAACAGGAUUAGAUACCCUGGUAGUCCAUGCCGUAAACGGUGGGCGCUAGGUGUGGGGUCCUUCCACGGACUCCGUGCCGUAGCUAACGCAUUAAGCGCCCCGCCUGGGGAGUACGG
RNAcentral lists this ribosomal RNA (642 nucleotides) under uncultured bacterium. RNAcentral describes it as "bacterial SSU rRNA". It matches the Rfam family "Bacterial small subunit ribosomal RNA", at positions 232 to 885 of the family's 1533-position model. The record is from RNAcentral.